RNAcentral lists this ribosomal RNA (274 nucleotides) under uncultured bacterium. RNAcentral's name for it is "partial 16S ribosomal RNA". It matches the Rfam family "Bacterial small subunit ribosomal RNA", at positions 523 to 796 of the family's 1533-position model. The record is from RNAcentral.
AUACGGAGGGUGCAAGCGUUAAUCGGAAUUACGGGGCGUAAAGCGCGCGUAGGCGGUUUGGUAAGUCGGAUGUGAAAGCCCCGGGCUCAACCUGGGAAUUGCAUUCGAUACUGCCAGACUAGAGUAUGGUAGAGGGAAGUGGAAUUCCGGGUGUAGCGGUGAAAUGCGUAGAUAUCCGGAGGAACACCAGUGGCGAAGGCGACUUCCUGGACCAAUACUGACGCUGAGGUGCGAAAGCGUGGGGAGCAAACAGGAUUAGAAACCCUAGUAGUCC